This 64-nucleotide transfer RNA is filed under the name Dilophotes sp. L LB-2014. RNAcentral's name for it is "tRNA-Phe". The record is from RNAcentral. Lineage: Eukaryota; Metazoa; Arthropoda; Insecta; Coleoptera; Lycidae.
UAUUUUAAUAGCUUAUUUAAGAGUGUAAUAUUGAAGAUAUUAAGGAGAUUUUAAUCUUAAAAUA